UACGUAGGGGCGAGCGUUAUCCGGAAUUAUUGGGCGUAAAGAGUGCGUAGGUGGUUACCUAAGCGCAAGGUUUAAGCUUGAGGCUCAACCUCAUUUUGCCUUGCGAACUGGGCUACUUGAGUGCAUGAGGGGAAAGCGGAAUUCCUAGUGUAGCGGUGAAAUGCGUAGAUAUUAGGAAGAACACCAGUGGCGAAGGCGGCCUUCUGGACUGUAACUGACACUGAGGCACGAAAGCGUUGGGAGCAAACAGGAUUAGAUACCCUGGUAGUCCCU
This 273-nucleotide ribosomal RNA is filed under the name uncultured prokaryote. Its description in RNAcentral is "partial 16S ribosomal RNA". It matches the Rfam family "Bacterial small subunit ribosomal RNA", at positions 524 to 798 of the family's 1533-position model. The record is from RNAcentral.